Long non-coding RNA from Symphalangus syndactylus (siamang), 583 nucleotides. RefSeq lists it as uncharacterized. NCBI's taxonomy places the organism in Eukaryota, Metazoa, Chordata, Mammalia, Primates, Hylobatidae. The record is from RefSeq and is a predicted model, not a curated record.
CCUGCAUACCCACCAAGGAAAGACCACGUGAGAACAUAGUGGGAAUGCAGAUGUCUGCAAGCCAGGAAGUGAGAGCUCUCACCAGAAGCCAACCCUGUUGGACCUUGAUUUGGAACUUUUAACCUCCAGAACUAUGAGAAGAUGAAUUUCUAUUGUUGAAGCCACUCAGUCUAUGCACUUCUCCUUCCUGCCACCCUGUGAAGAAGGUGCCUGGUUUCCCCUUUUCCUUCUGCCAUGAUUUCUCCACUCACUCUUUACUUCUGGGAUGGUGGCAGACACACAGAACUAUCAAGCUGCGAAUUUUAGAGGGGACAUGAGCUAACAAGACACACAAACGGUUGACCAAGGCCUGAAAGGAAGCAUGGGACUUAGACAGCAGAGACAGGGGCAAAGGCCAUUGGAUCUCUGUGAAGUGGCACCUGUUGUUGGGAUAGAGCACUCUAGGAAAGUCAUGAAGAACUGGUGGAACACUCAGCUGAGGUUAUUAAAUCAGAGGAAACAUCUGGGUGACGAUUUUCUUUGGAAGAUAUUUUGUGCUAAAAACUUCAUCCUUGAUUCCUGUGCUAAUGUGUCAUUCAUUUCU